AAGAUACUAGUAAAAUGCUAUUACAUUGCUUUGUCAAGGCUAAAAUGUGGGCUAGAUUCCCACGUAUCUUA
This 71-nucleotide transfer RNA is filed under the name Zenion japonicum (Japanese dory). Its description in RNAcentral is "tRNA-Asp". It matches the Rfam family "tRNA". Rfam says of the family: Transfer RNA (tRNA) molecules are approximately 80 nucleotides in length. Their secondary structure includes four short double-helical elements and three loops (D, anti-codon, and T loops). The record is from RNAcentral. Lineage: Eukaryota; Metazoa; Chordata; Actinopteri; Zeiformes; Zenionidae.